This 216-nucleotide ribosomal RNA is filed under the name Glomeromycotina sp. Its description in RNAcentral is "partial small subunit ribosomal RNA". The stretch from base 44 to 216 matches the Rfam family "Eukaryotic small subunit ribosomal RNA", at positions 690 to 864 of the family's 1831-position model. Lineage: Eukaryota; Fungi; Glomeromycota. The record is from RNAcentral.
GGGUCAGUAGGUUGGUCGUGCCACCGGUACGUACUGGUCUCACUGAUUCCUCCUUCCUGAAGAACCGUAAUGCCAUUAAUUUGGCGUUGCGGGGAAACAGGACUGUUACUUUGAAAAAAUUAGAGCGUUUAAAGCAAGCUAACGCUUGAAUACAUUAGCAUGGAAUAAUGAAAUAGGACGAUCGAUCCUAUUUUGUUGGUUUCUAGGAUUGACGUA